AUGCACGCUGGCGGCGUGCCUCAUCCCUGCCAGUCGAGCGCACAGACGAGGAGCUUGCUCCUCUGACGUUAGCGGCGGACGGGUGAGUAACACGUGGAUAACCUACCUAUAAGACUGGGAUAACUUCGGGAAACCGGAGCUAAUACCGGAUAAUAUAUUGAACCGCAUGGUUCAAUAGUGAAAGACGGUUUUGCUGUCACUUAUAGAUGGAUCCGCGCCGCAUUAGCUAGUUGGUAAGGUAACGGCUUACCAAGGCAACGAUGCGUAGCCGACCUGAGAGGGUGAUCGGCCACACUGGAGCUGAGACACGGUCCAGACUCCUACGGGAGGCAGCAGUAGGGAAUCUUACGCAAUGGACGAAAGCCUGACGGAGCAACGCCGCGUGAGUGAUGAAGGUCUUCGGAUCGUAAAACUCUGUUAUUAGGGAAGAACAAAUGUGUAAGUAACUAUGCGCGGCUUGACGGUACCUAUUCAGAAAGCCACGGCUAACUACGUG
Molecule: ribosomal RNA, 496 nt
Filed under: uncultured bacterium
Lineage: Bacteria
Description: partial 16S ribosomal RNA
Rfam family: Bacterial small subunit ribosomal RNA
Source: RNAcentral